GAUGAAGAACGCAGCGAAAUGCGAUAAGUAAUGUGAAUUGCAGAAUUCAGUGAAUCAUCGAAUCUUUGAACGCACAUUGCGCCCCCCAGUAUUCUGGCGGGCAUGCCUGUUCGAGCGUCAUUUCAACCAUCAAGCCCUGCUUGUGUUGGGGUCCUGCGGCUGCCCGCAGGCCCUGAAAACCAGUGGCGGGCUCGCUAGUCACACCGAGCGCAGUAGCACAUCUCGCUCAGGGCGUGCGGCGGGCUCCAGCCGUUAAAGCACCCACCUUUCGCAAGGUUGACCUCGGUUCAGGUAGGAAUACCCGCUGAACUUAAGCAUAUCAAUAAGCGGAGGA
RNAcentral lists this unclassified non-coding RNA (334 nucleotides) under soil metagenome. RNAcentral's name for it is "partial contains 5.8S ribosomal RNA, internal transcribed spacer 2, and large subunit ribosomal RNA". The stretch from base 1 to 120 matches the Rfam family "5.8S ribosomal RNA", at positions 35 to 154 of the family's 154-position model. The record is from RNAcentral.